GCAGAGGUCGUUCAGUGGUAGAAUUCACGCCUUGCAUGUGAGAGACCUGGGUUUGAUUCCCAGGCAAUGCA
RNAcentral lists this transfer RNA (71 nucleotides) under Loxodonta africana (African savanna elephant). It matches the Rfam family "tRNA". Rfam says of the family: Transfer RNA (tRNA) molecules are approximately 80 nucleotides in length. Their secondary structure includes four short double-helical elements and three loops (D, anti-codon, and T loops). Lineage: Eukaryota; Metazoa; Chordata; Mammalia; Proboscidea; Elephantidae. The record is from Rfam by way of RNAcentral.